GGAGGAGUAUCGAAGUGGUCAUAACGAGCUGUACUCGAAAUACAGUUGUCCUCAAGGACACGUGGGUUCGAAUCCCACCUCUUCCG
Molecule: transfer RNA, 86 nt
Filed under: Clostridium pasteurianum DSM 525 = ATCC 6013
Lineage: Bacteria; Bacillati; Bacillota; Clostridia; Eubacteriales; Clostridiaceae
Rfam family: tRNA
About the family: Transfer RNA (tRNA) molecules are approximately 80 nucleotides in length. Their secondary structure includes four short double-helical elements and three loops (D, anti-codon, and T loops).
Source: Rfam by way of RNAcentral